RNAcentral lists this small RNA (356 nucleotides) under Histoplasma ohiense. RNAcentral describes it as "hypothetical lncRNA". Lineage: Eukaryota; Fungi; Ascomycota; Eurotiomycetes; Onygenales; Ajellomycetaceae. The record is from RNAcentral.
GCUGCCCAAACAACUCCUUCAGCGAAAUCUGUCGGCCCAUGGGUACACCACCCUGAUACAACCCCUGGUCUCCAUGACCCUGGGCGUCACCCUGGUUCCGCUCCGCGGCAACCCUCUCCAGUGCAAAUCUCCUACUCUCCCCACCAUGUACGGCACACUCCUUAAUAAUCUGCGCAUUCAAAGCCCUAGUCUCCGCCGUAGAGCUGGGUGGGGGCUCCGAGAAGAUCCACAGCCCAUAAAUAACUGACUGGUGGCCGUCUGCCGCCUUGAUCGUAGUGGCGCCAGGCUCCGUACCCGUUGACGCGACUUUCAAAAUGACAUAUUCAUCCGUAAUUUCCACAUCAUCGCCGUCCGCA